GUUGAACGCUGGCGGCAGGCCUAACACAUGCAAGUCGAGCGGAUGAAGGGAGCUUGCUCCUGGAUUCAGCGGCGGACGGGUGAGUAAUGCCUAGGAAUCUGCCUGGUAGUGGGGGAUAACGUCCGGAAACGGGCGCUAAUACCGCAUACGUCCUGAGGGAGAAAGUGGGGGAUCUUCGGACCUCACGCUAUCAGAUGAGCCUAGGUCGGAUUAGCUAGUUGGUGGGGUAAAGGCCUACCAAGGCGACGAUCCGUAACUGGUCUGAGAGGAUGAUCAGUCACACUGGAACUGAGACACGGUCCAGACUCCUACGGGAGGAAGCAGUGGGGAAUAUUGGACAAUGGGCGAAAGCCUGAUCCAGCCAUGCCGCGUGUGUGAAGAAGGUCUUCGGAUUGUAAAGCACUUUAAGUUGGGAGGAAGGGCAGUAAGUUAAUACCUUGCUGUUUUGACGUUACCAACAGAAUAAGCACCGGCUAACUUCGUG
This 484-nucleotide ribosomal RNA is filed under the name uncultured bacterium. Its description in RNAcentral is "partial 16S ribosomal RNA". It matches the Rfam family "Bacterial small subunit ribosomal RNA", at positions 28 to 507 of the family's 1533-position model. The record is from RNAcentral.